CAGCCCCUCACCCUGGCCAUGAGGGUCCCUCUGUCCCUGGAGCUCCGGCCUCCUUUUAGUGCCCAUCUCCUUAGCCUGUCCCUUUCUUUCAGGUGACUCUGCCUCCCCCCAUUUGCUGAGGCCUCCUCCCUCCUUCUCCAAGACAGGCCCUGCUCCUCUUCCCCACCUGCCGUCUUAGUCCCACAUCUGGGCUCUGUUGGCUGGUUAACCAUCGAUCUUGCCUGGGACCUGGAUUGCUACUGCCAUGGCCAGCUGGGUGCUCUCCAAGUCAGGGGUGCUGUGCGAGGAGGGCGUGGCUUCUGCUCCUCUGUGUCCCAGCCACUCCUCCUGUACUCAGGCCCCAGCUCCUCUGUUCUGCCCAGUGGCCUGGCGCAGGAAAGGUCCAGGCCGCGGCUGUGACUCCCGCGGGUGAACCACAGCUCCACAGCCCCAAAUCCAAAGAUGCUCUUGCUGCAGCACGACAAGUGUUCAAAAGAGAACCAGGCCCAGCCCGGAGAAAGGAAAGCCAAAAGCCAACUGAAUGAAUGACCCUCCCCCAGAAGAGCAACCCUGCCCCCAGGCCAUCCAAGUGCGAACAUUACCAGGUGCCAGCAGGGAAAGGACUCCGCUGCCUGACGCCUCUCCCACCUGAGAGCGCAGAGUUCACCCUUUGGUGACCUCCACCGUGGCUGCAGACUUCAGGUGGUCCUCACGCAUUCACAGAACUGUCUGCUUAGGUUACAGCACUUUGGGAGGCCGAGGCAGGGGAAUCACUUGAACCUGGGAGGCGGAGGUUGCAGUGAACUGAGAUUGCGC
This 795-nucleotide long non-coding RNA is filed under the name Homo sapiens (human). Its description in RNAcentral is "HSALNT0380982". The record is from RNAcentral. Lineage: Eukaryota; Metazoa; Chordata; Mammalia; Primates; Hominidae.